GCACAUAUCCACAAGAUAAACAAAACAUUAACAUGAGAUAAUACUCCUCUUUCACUUAAUCAACUAUAUAUGUAUAAUCCCAAACUAGUUAGGAUUGAGUAAUUCAUGUUAGUUAUGCUUGAUAAUAGUAGCAAGAUUUAGAAUAGAUGUUGACCUCAGUCUCGAAUUCCAAGCAAGGAACCCAUCCAUUUUUCAAAAGGUACUCAACUUCCCUAAGCAAUUGCUCCACGCUCAAAUCAGGAAGGUAUGAGAGAGUCUCGUACUUCUUCUUGUUAAUUGGUGGCCACACCUACAUAUAUAUUCCACAUAAAAAAUUUACGGUACAAGUAUGGAAUAUAACAUUUUCAAUCUAAUAUUGGGGUGUCAAUGAAUUUUGUGAUCUUCUAUGCAUAUACUCAAUCCGUUUCAAUUUAGAUAAUUUAGCUUGACUUGACACAAAGUUUAAGAAAAAAAAAAUAUUUAAAAAAUUUGUGAUCCUAAAAGCUUAAGGGGCAAAAGGUUUGUGGGACCAUGCCAUUUGUAUGAUUAUAAAAGCUUAAAGCGGAUAAAAUGAAAAGUUUAAAGUUAAAUUGUUUUUAAAUUUGGAAACGUGUCAUUCUUUUUUUAACGGACUAAUAGGAAAAUUGUGUAAUUUAAAUUGAAAUGGAGGGAGUAAUAUAUUUGGUGAAAUUAAGGCACAUAGUAUAGUGCCUUAAUUACAAGUAAUCAUCGACAAAAAAUAAGAUAGGGUACCUGCUAAAGCUAAAACAGGUUAAGAUACACUAAGUUCAAUCCAGAUAUUAUAUACUUCUAGUACAAACCUGCAUGCAUUGAACUCUUCCGCCGUUGCUAGCAAUGGAAGUAAUGUCAAGGUUUUGUUUCCUGGAAACAGGGAAGGAGGUUGCGGACUUGAGACCAGUGAAGGGUGCAACCAUACUGGCUUGAGCAGCAUUGGCGCCGGUCGCAACAGCGGCAGCUGAGGACAUAACUGAGGAAG
Molecule: long non-coding RNA, 976 nt
Filed under: Nicotiana tabacum (common tobacco)
Lineage: Eukaryota; Viridiplantae; Streptophyta; Magnoliopsida; Solanales; Solanaceae
Description: long non-coding RNA (NTAB_LNC016824)
Source: RNAcentral